GGCCUUGCAUCUAAGGCCAUCUACUAAAAUUGAAAUGGUACAGAGAUUAGCAUAACCUUGCACAAGGAUGGCAGAUGCCUUCAUCAAGCAGCUCAUUCAAUA
Small nuclear RNA from Meriones unguiculatus (Mongolian gerbil), 102 nucleotides. NCBI's taxonomy places the organism in Eukaryota, Metazoa, Chordata, Mammalia, Rodentia, Muridae. The record is from Ensembl.